RNAcentral lists this long non-coding RNA (223 nucleotides) under Elaeis guineensis (African oil palm). RNAcentral describes it as "long non-coding RNA (EGUI_LNC030541)". The record is from RNAcentral. Lineage: Eukaryota; Viridiplantae; Streptophyta; Magnoliopsida; Arecales; Arecaceae.
GGUGCAGGGAUGAGUUCAGGCGUAUAGAGAAAAACUCAGAAGAAGAGAGGAAGAAACCAAGAAGGGAAAAAGGAUCUCUAGAUUGGAGAAGAAAGCAACAAUUCUAAUUUCUUUUUCAUUCAUCCUUUUUUUAGUCUAAAGUCUUGUGGGCUUUUAUAGACUGAAUAAAUCCUAUCCAACAAUUUAAUUUCAAAUCUAGAUAAGAUAAUAAAUUUUAAAUCUA